RNAcentral lists this ribosomal RNA (420 nucleotides) under Catalinimonas alkaloidigena. RNAcentral describes it as "bacterial SSU rRNA". It matches the Rfam family "Bacterial small subunit ribosomal RNA", at positions 97 to 517 of the family's 1533-position model. Lineage: Bacteria; Pseudomonadati; Bacteroidota; Cytophagia; Cytophagales; Catalimonadaceae. The record is from RNAcentral.
GGCGAACGGGUUGCGUAACGCGUAUGCAACUUACCCACUACUGGGGGAUAGCCCGGGGAAACUCGGAUUAAUACCCCAUAACGCAGGGGAUUCGCAUGGAUCUAUUGUUAAAGAUUUAUCGGUAGUGGAUGGGCAUGCGUAGGAUUAGCUAGUUGGUAGUGUAAUGGACUACCAAGGCUGUGAUCCUUAGGGGGUCUGAGAGGAUGAUCCCCCACACUGGUACUGAGAUACGGACCAGACUCCUACGGGAGGCAGCAGUAGGGAAUAUUGGGCAAUGGGUGAGAGCCUGACCCAGCCAUGCCGCGUGCAGGAAGACGGCCCUCAGGGUUGUAAACUGCUUUUCUACGAGAAGAAAGAGGUUGUGCGCAACCAGUUGACGGUAUCGUAGGAAUAAGCACCGGCUAACUCCGUGCCAGCUCG